AGCAGCCGCGGUAAUUCCAGCUCCAAUAGCGUAUAUUAAAGUUGUUGCAGUUAAAAAGCUCGUAGUUGAAUUUCGGGGUUAGUAGGUUGGUCAUGCCUCUGGUAUGUACUGGUCUCACUGAUUCCUCCUUCCUUAUGAACCGUAAUGCCAUUAAUUUGGUGUUGCGGGAAAUUUGGACUGUUACUUUGAAAAAAUUAGAGUGUUUAAAGCAAGCUAACGCUUGAAUACAUUAGCAUGGAAUAAUGAAAUAGGACGUUCGAUCUUAUUUUGUUGGUUUCUAGGAUUGACGUAAUGAUUAAUAGGGAUAGUUGGGGGCAUUAGUAUUCAAUUGUCAGAGGUGAAAUUCUUGGAUUUAUUGAAGACUAACUACUGCGAAAGCAUUUGCCAAGGAUGUUUUCAUUAAUCAAGAACGAAAGUUAGGGGAUCGAAGACGAUCAGAUACCGUCGUAGUCUUAACCAUAAACUAUGCCGACUAGGGAUCGGAUGAUGUUAAUUUUUAAUGACUCAUUCGGCGCCUUAC
Molecule: ribosomal RNA, 520 nt
Filed under: uncultured Glomus
Lineage: Eukaryota; Fungi; Glomeromycota; Glomeromycetes; Glomerales; Glomeraceae
Description: SSU rRNA
Rfam family: Eukaryotic small subunit ribosomal RNA
Source: RNAcentral